UUCGGCCUUAGUGGCGCACGGGUGAGUAACGCGUGUGAACGUACCCUUUGGUUCGGGAUAACGUCUGGAAACGGACGCUAAUACCGGAUGAGCCCUUCGGGGGAAAGAUUUAUCGCCAAAGGAGCGGCCCGCGUGCUGAUUAGCUAGUUGGUGGGGUAAUGGCCCACCAAGGCGACGAUCAGUAGCUGGUCUGAGACAACAACCAGCCAAACUGGGACUGAGACACGACCCAGACUAGUACGGGAGGCAGCAGUGGGGAAUAUUGGACAAUGGGGGCAACCCUGAUCCAGCCAUGCCGCGUGAGUGAUGAAGGCGUUCGGGUUGUAAAGCUCUUUCGCACGCGACGAUGAUGACGGUAGCGUGAGAAGAAGCCCCGGCUAACUUCGUGCCAGCAGCCGCGGUAAUACGAAGGGGGCUAGCGUUGUUCGGAAUUACUGGGCGUAAAGG
Molecule: ribosomal RNA, 447 nt
Filed under: bacterium SL5.20
Lineage: Bacteria
Description: bacterial SSU rRNA
Rfam family: Bacterial small subunit ribosomal RNA
Source: RNAcentral